Molecule: ribosomal RNA, 40 nt
Filed under: Simplicillium obclavatum
Lineage: Eukaryota; Fungi; Ascomycota; Sordariomycetes; Hypocreales; Cordycipitaceae
Also listed under: 3 other names
Description: partial 28S ribosomal RNA
Source: RNAcentral
GGUUGACCUCGAAUCAGGUAGGACUACCCGCUGAACUUAA